UAACUGAAUCACUUUAUUGUAUAGCAGAAAUUAAUACAAUCUUGUAAAUCAACUAUACUUCAAGAACAUUUUUAAAAUGAAAAAAAGAAUCAUCUUACUAUCCUGACGACGAUACUAAUAUUGCUACCUUUUACUGCAUGUCGGAUUUUGUAGGACACUUUUUCACAAAUUCUCAGAAAUGUCCUACAAGGCAUUUCAUACUUUUAUUAUACUCAGAUUUAGAAAGUUAAGGAAGGUUCCCAGGAUCACACAGCUGAUCUCACAGGUGACAGAGCUGCGACCCAAACCGAAGUCCACCCUACUCCAAGCUUUUUGCCCUCCACCACAGGGAGUGUUCUGAAAUACCAGCAGUUCCCUGAACAUGCCAUGCCCUUUGUACACUACAUCUUUGGUGCAAUUGCUUUUCCCUCUGCUUUUAAUAGCUCUUCCCUUUCUUUGACUGUCUGGCUGGCUGCUACUGAUUCCCUAAGAUUUGGCUCAAAUAUCAUCUUGGGGUGAAACUCUGAGCAAUUGCAGGUGGAGAGAUAAAGGGAAGAAACAGAACCAGACUAGAAACCAGGAAACUAGAUGAGUCUCCACACCUCUGUCAGCUAAACCUCCCUGUCUAGAAAGUUGGGAUAGUAACCCUACCCACCACCUGGAGUUUCAGGGAGGAUCAAAUGGGACUUUAUAUUUGAAACCACUUUGCAAACUAUAAAGCCCCAUAUAAAUAUAAGUUAUUAUUAAUUGUUCUAUUAAUUAAAUAAUUAAAUCCCAGCUACCAUAAUAAAUCUUUGAAACUGCUGUUAAUGGCUAUUAAUCGAAACGCAUGCUGAUGGUAAUUACGCUAAUUAAAAUUCUCAGGAAUAAUGACAAUUAGUCCUGAUACUGAAAAGUGGUCCAGAGGGCAUGGACCAGCAUGAAACUGGAGAGGAGACAAUGCAAAUGGGAGUUGGCAAAAGGACACAGAAGCUGACCAGUGAACAAGAUGAGCAGAUUAGCCAUGCCCCUCCUGGCUGAGAGCUCUGUUGUGCUAAAGGAAAAGGGCUUCAUAAACACCAAAACCACCACCUCCUGUUAUAUGAACAUUUGGCUUGCAGUGGUCCAUGUGUUUGUCUGUAUACGUACCUCUCUCUGUAGUGAUAUGCUCAGAUUAAGCUUCAUUGUAUUGAAGUGCAUAUGGGUCCAUGACCACGCCAUUCCCUACCACCACUACUCAACACAUCACCAUGUCUUCUGACCAAGUCAAGAUCCUUCAUGGUCCGGUUCAAUGAAGCCUUCCUGGAUUUUUCUUGUAAGACUAGGGGAUCAUUUUGUGCUUCCGUUCACCUUCUGCAAACUCCACCCUGGAAUUUGUAGUCCCAGUUCCAUCACUUACAAGCUGUGUUUCGUCAAGAUGUUUCUUAAAACCUCUUUUAUGCUUCCAUUGCCUCAUCUACUAAGUGAGGACAAUAACAGCAAAGACCAGACAGGAUUGUUCUAAGAAUUAAAUUAGAUAUGUAUGUCUCUUAGAACAGGAUUAGACACAUAGUACUCAAUUAAUGUUCAUCAUUAUAGCUAUUAAUAUUGUAAUUAUUUGUCUGUAUAUCCAUCACUCUGCCAGACUGUGAGCACUUUCUUUUUGUAUCCCUAUGGCCUUGACUUACUGCCUUAUAAGUGCUCCUUUCAUUAUUGAUAUUAAAAUGGAAAUGGAUGGAAAAUGUUCUUAAGAAAACUACAGACAAAACUAAAGGCAGUAGGGUAGAAAAAUCAUUGACUAUGAAAUCAGAUUAGGUUUAAAUCUUGGCUCUACUACUUGCUUAGAUGUUGGCUUUAUGCAAGUCACUUUGCCUUCUAGGACUCAGUUUUUUCACCUAGAAAAUAGAACCAAUAAUCCCUAGCCUAUUUCCUCUCAAGCUCCAUCAUAGGGUUAGAAUAAGGACACAGAUGUGAAACUGCUUUGUAAACUGAAAGGCUCUAAUCAAAUAUAAGAUACUUUGACUAUUAUUAGAACCAUCUGGAAGUUGUUUGGACUUACAAAUUGAUAGAAUCAGUCAACACCUACUUGACUUACACAAAAAGCAGUUAUUAUGCUUGGGUAUUUUUUAAGCCCUUAACCCUAUGGAUAUUCCAAGUCUUUUCUCCAAAUUCACGCCCAAUUUGAAAAUGUCCAAGUUUAUUUUCCCAAAGACUGAGUAACAAUAGGAAUGUAAAAUGUAGCUAAGACUGAAACUUCACUAAAGAUUUCAGUUUCUAUUUCCCUUAAGGGAGUUUCUAGAGCCCUAGCUAAUAGCUGGGUUAUUAAAUGAGCUCAACUCACAGGGUUUCUCGAGGUGUCAGGGAGCUCAACCUCAGAGGUUACUUUAGGAUACCAGGGAGUUUAGAUUAAGAUACCCAGUAAGUGGCAAAAGAAAGAAAGAAAAGAAAAGAAAGGAAGGAAGGGAGGGAGAGAGGAAGGAAGGAAGGAAAGAAGGAAAUAUAUAGAGGGUAAGAACACUGGAAUGAGAGUCAAAAAUUCUAAAUUCUGACCUCGCUCUUCGGCUUUUCAGUUUGAACAUCUUCUCUACCUGGACUUUAGUUUUCUCAGUAAAAUGUAAAUAAUCUCCUCCCAUUUCAUAAACUUUUGCCAUAGAACAAAUCACUCCAAAAACUUAGUGAUAAAAGAUGCAGAGUUGGUUUCUCAUAAUUCUGUGAGCUGGUUAGGCAGGUCUGCUCAUCUUGCCAGGCCCACUCAGGGAGCAGCAUUCAGGUGGUGAGUCAGCAGGGACUUGGGCCCAAUGGACAUAGCUAGGACUCAGCCUCUUUUUUUUUUUUGGUACAGGGUUUUUCAUACUUAAGGAGACAGACUGGGCCUCUUCAUAAGGCAACAGUGUUCCAGGAGAGCGAAAGUGGAAUUGCACAGCUACUAAAGGCAGCCUCACAGCCUACAACCCAUUAUGAAUUAGUGGAUGCAGGCUUGAGCAUCAGUGGCUGCUGACAUCACAGAAACCAAGACAACUAGAUGUUACGCACCUACUGAGGGGGAGCCCAUCACCUAUGAAGCUGUCUUGCUAAAAUGAAAAAAACUGAACUUUAAUCUGAUCAAGGCUGUAGUUACAACCGCCAAGUUUCAGGAAAUACAGGAGACAAAAGAACACGUUAAACUACACCACAGCAGUAAAUCAGCAAAUCCAGACUAGAAAAACACUGUAGAAAAGCAACCUGUUUUUUUUCAAUAAAUAUACUAGGAAAGGGGAAAAAAAAAAAAAAGGCUCAGAAGAAGCACAUGCAUUAGGAGAGACCAAUAAUUAUGUAUAGAAUUGUUGGAUCCUGAUUCAAAUAAUCUAUUUUAAAGAUUAUGACAUUUUUGUAAUUUUGGAAAUUUGUAGAGACAGAACCAUGAAAUUAAGGAAUUAAAGCUAAUCUGAAGUAUGACUUGGUAUUAUAAAUAUGUUUUUUAAAGGCUCCUUAGCUUUUAGAGUACAUAUUAAAAUAUUUAUGUUUUUAAUAUUGUAGCUGAGAUUUGUUAAUAGAGGGUGGGAGUAAGAUGAAGCAAGAAUGUCAAUGAGUUGAUAACAAUUGAAGCUAGGUGAUGAGUACAUGUGCAUUGAUUAUUCAUUCCAGCUACUUUAGUUUGAAAUUCUCCAUAAUACAUUUUUUUUUUUAGGGUUGGACAGGAAGUUAGACAGCUCUGGGCUCAAGUGGCAGCCCCUGUGUCUCCUCUACUUAAUCCUAUGUUCUUGGGAAAUUCAUUUCACCUCUUUGAGCUUCCAUUUCCUUACAAAUAAAGUAGGGGUCAUCUCCCCCCAUUAUUUUCCAGUGAUGCUCUGGGGGCCAAAUGAGUUCAUGAGUGUGAAAGCAUUUUAUAAGCCAUGAAAGGCUACACAUGGGCUCAAAACUGCUUCUGUUACUAUCACUUUUGACCUGAAAAUAAUUUAGAUCUUUUGGGCCCUGUCUCUCUCUUAGUAAUCUCAUCUCUGCAUACUUGGCCUGCUCGCAUGAGAAAUUAGCAGAAUGGGCUCCAAAAACCCUCUGGGCAAUGGCCGUGAGCUUGACAUAGGGUCUAAAGAUAAUUUUUUAAAUAUCAUCUUUUGCCUUUAUCUCAAAUCCAGGUGGGAAGAAUUUCUGCUUCUGGUUUAGAUGGAGUAACAGGAACUGUCCUUAUCCUCCCACUGUAAACAACAGAAAAAAGAAACAGACAAUAUAUCUUAUAUAUAUAGCAUGUAUAUAGUAUAUAUGUAUAUAUUAUUAUACAGUGGUCACUGAGAUGUUGGAAACAAACAAGCUGAGUCCUACAAUGCCUCGACUCACUGCUUUUUUUUUUUUUUUUUUAAGGCAUAUGGAGGUUCCCAGACUAGGGUUCGAGUCAGAGCUGUAGCCACUGGCCUACACCAGGUAUAGCAAUGCCAGAUCCAAGCCGCAUCUGUGACCUACACCACAGCUCACACCAACACCGGAUCCUUAACCCACUGAGUGAGGCCAGGGAUCAAACUUGCCUCCUGAUGGAUACUAGUCAGAUUCGUUUCUGCUGAACCAUGACAGGAACUCCUGAUUCACCGCCUUAAUUAAGAG
Molecule: long non-coding RNA, 4509 nt
Filed under: Sus scrofa (pig)
Lineage: Eukaryota; Metazoa; Chordata; Mammalia; Artiodactyla; Suidae
Description: lncRNA (ENSSSCG00050065670.1)
Source: RNAcentral